GGAUAGAGAGAGGAGUGGAGUAGAUCUAGCGGCGGGGCUCCGGCCCGCCAGGGCCAGGGCCAGGGCCAGGGCCGGAGGCUAGAUCUCGGCCUCGGCCGGCCGACCACCGGCGGUCUGCUCGUCGGUACGUACGUGCCGAGGCCUGAAGAGGCGCGCGCAGGGCGAGGCGCCGGAUCUUGCACGGCAAGGAUCUCAACGACGGACGGGAGGUCCUCUGUUGGAUCAAAUAUUGCCACUGUUUUUCUCUCUAGGCAAGGAUAUAUUAGAUCAAGCAUCAUAUCAUGUACGCCGUAAGCUUUUGCAACGCCCUCACCGUUAGUGUCUACUGGUUGGAUCAUGCUUCUGUUUAUGAGCUCAUUUAAGUAACCCUCUCCUAGCUUAAGUGGUCCAAUUUUUUGAUUUUAUGAUACACAAAACCUUCAGCUAUCCAUUUCCAUAUCGGCUGGUCUCUCUUAAUUUUGUAAUCCUCUGGAAAUAUGCUUAGAUAUAAUAAAUGAUGCGAAGGUAGAUCAUAGAACAACAACAGCACCAUCUUUAGCCUCAAUAAAGUUGGGUUAGGCUAGAGAUACAACACAACAGGAGCCACACACUCACAAUAUGAUAAACGCUAUAUUAUAUCUAGUAAAGGAGGUUAUUGGCUUGUGGGUUAUGUCUGAGUGGUGAUCUAGAAGUCAAUCCUCUUUUACUAGUAGUUUUGAUUCACCUUUUCAUCUCUAGGGUUAGUUAUUAUGCCUAAGUAUGUUUUGAGAAGAUUAUAAGAUUAGGCAAGGUCAUUUGAUCCGGAAAUGGAUAGCUGAAUGUUUUGUUUAUCAUUAAAAACAAGAUAUUAGACUAUUUGUGCUAGGAGAAGGUUACUCAAUGAGCUCCUAAUCAGAAGUAUGAUUCAACCAAUAGACAUUAAUGUUGAUGAUGAAGGCAUGGAAAAAUCUUACCGUGUACGUGAUAUGGUGAUUGAUCCAACACGUUUUUUUGCCAAGUGAAGAAAAUGUGGCGAAAUUGCAUGGCAAUGAGCAAAGAGUUUGUCUAAUCUGAAACCAAGAUUCGAAGGUUAUCCAUUCAAAAGAGCAUGGUAGAGAUAUGACUAAACAGCAGCAGCUAGCAUAUCAUAUGUGGGAUGUCUAUCCAGUUCUGGUUAUGUGGAACCUGGGAGUGCUACCUGUGCUGGAAUUUGCAUAUUGUGCUGCAUUGCUUCCAUGUUGAGUUUCUGACCAAUCAAGAUGGUGAUGACUAAAGUACACCACAUUUGCCUUGUGAUUUCAUUCGUCUUCCAUCUGCAAUGAUGUGAAGCUCUCGCUGUGACCCAGUUAUCUUCUGCAUUCUGCCCAAGCUGAAUUAUCCUUUUUAAGUUAUUUGUGUUGUACAGAAUAGUGUUAAUCAUGUUGUACUCCUGGCUGGUUUGCUGGCUUUGGUUAUUCAUUGUCUAACAGCUUUCAGAGUCUGUAUACCAGAGCCGUGUAAUGAAAGUAUUGACCUCCAUUCUAGUAUCUUCUGAAGUAACGGCAUUUUCUUUUGUA
Long non-coding RNA from Lolium perenne, 1514 nucleotides. RefSeq lists it as uncharacterized. Lineage: Eukaryota; Viridiplantae; Streptophyta; Magnoliopsida; Poales; Poaceae. The record is from RefSeq and is a predicted model, not a curated record.